UCGCCGAGAUGCUGAAGGACAGCAGGGGCGGUUCGGCGGACAGCGAGGCGAGGGAUGUCACGGUCACGCCCGCGGGGCCGCGUCCCGCGUCGGCGGUC
RNAcentral lists this transfer RNA (98 nucleotides) under Rugosimonospora africana. Its description in RNAcentral is "tRNA-Ala". The record is from RNAcentral. Lineage: Bacteria; Bacillati; Actinomycetota; Actinomycetes; Micromonosporales; Micromonosporaceae.